AGAUUCGAGACGUAUGCCUCGCCAAUCUUAACUCUCGCCAUCGUCUAAAAUUGUCAAUGCGGUUUCUUCAAACCCUUUCACAAUCAAAUUCCAAAACACUUAAUUCCUAUUUUAACUUUUUUUCAAUAAAGAUGGAAAUGGAACAUGGCGUAUGCCGUGCACUCCUUAGACUAGGAUUCGAGAUGUAUAUCUCGCUCAUCCAAGUUCUCGCCAUCACUCAAAAUACAUCCAACCAAUCAAACUUUUUCUCGCCGCCGUGCGAUUAAUCAAAACCCUUUUUAAAUGAAAGAUAUAUUGUCUUAAGUGAUACAAAACAAUGUUUCGGCCACGAUUGUUGAGUAGAGAUAAAUGACGCUUUUCCGAAUGUAGAUCUAUAAAUCCGUUUGAUGUGUGGUAUGCGUCCACUCCUCAUCUGUUUUGGGUAAAACGAUGUUUUCGUCGAUUAAUACAAUACAGCUUUCGCUAAAAUCGACCAACAAACAAACAUUUUUCUACCCAGAACUACGUAAGCCUUGAUUUCUCUUUUGAGAUACGUAGGAG
Molecule: long non-coding RNA, 540 nt
Filed under: Lathyrus oleraceus (garden pea)
Lineage: Eukaryota; Viridiplantae; Streptophyta; Magnoliopsida; Fabales; Fabaceae
Description: Pisum sativum (pea) long non-coding RNA (PSAT_LNC035948)
Source: RNAcentral